Long non-coding RNA from Phragmites australis (common reed), 511 nucleotides. RefSeq lists it as uncharacterized. Lineage: Eukaryota; Viridiplantae; Streptophyta; Magnoliopsida; Poales; Poaceae. The transcript is spliced from 3 exons. The record is from RefSeq and is a predicted model, not a curated record.
AACAUUCAUUAGGUCCGUCUCCACAAGUCUCGACGCAGCCUCGCAGAUUGAGCCCUGUACGUCCACAGUCAGGUUACUUCGGUGACGAGGCCGGUCCGUCUUCGGCGGCCCCACACCCUACCCCCCCCCGCAACGUACUACGGCACGUCAGCGUGGCCUUCUUCUGCUGCACCGUCGUACCACGCAGGCCCCUCCAGCCAGUACACAUGGACGCCUGCCGAGCCUUCACAGUCCUCCUACCCUAGUCAGGAGAAUGAGGCUGGCCCCGACACCGCAUACGACAUCGUCCGUGACUUCUUCGGGGGCACACCUCACUACGACGUCCUUCAGCGGUCCCAGGUUUCCAGUGCACCGCUUCGGACCCAGCCCACGCAUGACGAGCCCUCGACACCGGUGGUUCCUACUAGGCCUAGCAGACACGUCGGCCCACCUAACCCCCUCACCUACUCCAGGGGUCACGUGAGGGUUAACCAGCGGCAUCGGGACCACGAUGGGGCGCACGGACGACGGC